Molecule: ribosomal RNA, 461 nt
Filed under: uncultured Syntrophus sp.
Lineage: Bacteria; Pseudomonadati; Thermodesulfobacteriota; Syntrophia; Syntrophales; Syntrophaceae
Description: bacterial SSU rRNA
Rfam family: Bacterial small subunit ribosomal RNA
Source: RNAcentral
GCACAAGCGGUGGAGCAUGUGGUUUAAUUCGAUGCAACGCGAAGAACCUUACCUGGGCUUGACAUCCCGAGAAUCCCCUGGAAACAGGGGAGUGCCUUUCGGGGAACUCGGAGACAGGUGCUGCAUGGCUGUCGUCAGCUCGUGUCGUGAGAUGUUGGGUUAAGUCCCGCAACGAGCGCAACCCUUGUCUUUAAUUGCCAGCAUUCAGUUGGGCACUUUAAAGAGACUGCCGGUGUUAAGCCGGAGGAAGGUGGGGAUGACGUCAAGUCCUCAUGGCCUUUAUGACCUGGGCUACACACGUGCUACAAUGGGCGGUACAAAGGGUCGCGAACCCGCGAGGGGGAGCCAAUCCCAAAAAGCCGCUCUCAGUUCGGAUUGCAGGCUGCAACUCGCCUGCAUGAAGCCGGAAUCGCUAGUAAUCGCGGAUCAGCAUGCCGCGGUCGAAUACGUUCCCGGGCCUU